UGGGGAAUAUUGCACAAUGGGCGCAAGCCUGAUGCAGCAACGCCGCGUGAGGGAUGACGGCCUUCGGGUUGUAAACCUCUUUUAGUAGGGAAGAAGCGAAAGUGACGGUACCUGCAGAAAAAGCACCGGCUAACUACGUGCCAGCAGCCGCGGUAAUACGUAGGGUGCGAGCGUUGUCCGGAAUUAUUGGGCGUAAAGAGCCCGUAGGCGGUCUGUCGCGUCUGCUGUGAAAACCCGAGGCUCAACCUCGGGCCUGCAGUGGGUACGGGCAGACUAGAGUGCGGUAGGGGAGAAUGGAAUUCCUGGUGUAGCGGUGGAAUGCGCAGAUAUCAGGAGGAACACCGAUGGCGAAGGCAGUUCUCUGGGCCGUAACUGACGCUGAGGAGCGAAAGCGUGGGGAGCGAACAGGAUUAGAUACCCUGGUAGUCCACGCCGUAAACGUU
This 443-nucleotide ribosomal RNA is filed under the name uncultured bacterium. Its description in RNAcentral is "partial 16S ribosomal RNA". It matches the Rfam family "Bacterial small subunit ribosomal RNA", at positions 355 to 810 of the family's 1533-position model. The record is from RNAcentral.